GGAGAGAUGGCAGAGUGGUCGAAUGCACUGGUCUUGAAAACCAGCGAAGGUUUGUAGCCUUCCCAGGGUUCGAAUCCCUGUCUCUCCGCCA
RNAcentral lists this transfer RNA (91 nucleotides) under Leucothrix sargassi. RNAcentral's name for it is "Leucothrix sp. C3212 tRNA-Ser". It matches the Rfam family "tRNA". Rfam says of the family: Transfer RNA (tRNA) molecules are approximately 80 nucleotides in length. Their secondary structure includes four short double-helical elements and three loops (D, anti-codon, and T loops). The record is from RNAcentral. Lineage: Bacteria; Pseudomonadati; Pseudomonadota; Gammaproteobacteria; Thiotrichales; Thiotrichaceae.